GGGGAUGAUGGGAAUCGAUAAAGAAAUCGCACUUUUACAAAAGGUGAGAGCGGAUCUAUCCGAUAACUAGAAAACCAUAGCUGAUAAAGAUUCAUCUUUAACAGCGGAAGAAAGUUAUUUCUUGGCUAACAGGGGCGCUUUCGUUCCUGCUUUUGCCCAGGUUUAUAACUGACCUUCCCUCUAACCGAGCGUUUUGUCCGAUUCAACAUAGGUUAGGGUAAACCAAUCGGAAUAAAGCCGAUAAAGAUUUCUGGUUGCUUUAUUGGUUGACAACUUUUAACCGGCUGUCUUGGAUUAAGUUUGAUUGUUUUCUUACCAAGACAAAAGUUAAAAACAAUCUAUCUCUCACUAAACUUUUUUAAAGGUGUUUCUUUAGACCCGGGUUCAACUCCCGGCAUCUCCACAC
This 406-nucleotide transfer-messenger RNA is filed under the name Patescibacteria group. Its description in RNAcentral is "JAAZNM01 sp012798265 Standard tmRNA". It matches the Rfam family "transfer-messenger RNA". From Rfam's summary of the family: Bacterial tmRNA, also known as 10Sa RNA or SsrA, is named for its dual tRNA and mRNA-like properties. Its role is to liberate the mRNA from a stalled ribosome. The record is from RNAcentral. RNAcentral also lists the same sequence under 1 other name.